AGAAUAGGAGUUAUUUUCAAGGCCUCAAGAAAGGAAAAAGGCGCACUACUUUGCAAGGCUACUAAGAUCAAAGUGUCACUCUUCCCUCCGCCGCCGGAUGGCGCGGAGGGAUUCUUCAGACAUACCUCGUUUCCGGUGUUAGCUUGGUGGGCGGGGAGAGAAGUCUUUCAGCCCAAGGAAGGUUUUUAUUGUGAAGUCCGAGGCCACCUGGUUAUCGCGCGAGAUGCUGGCGGAGAGCGAGCGUCGAGCUGAUUGGCUAGUCAUGAUGCAGUUCCCCGACGAGAUUUUGUUAAACUGGUAUCUGCCGCUCUCCCAAGUCUGCAACUGCCCGGUGUGUCCAUCCUAACCACUUCCCAGCACGUCCGCCUAAUGGCGCUGAUGUGGCGGGAGAAGCUUGAGGCUUCUCGCGGAGCAUCGGUUUGGAAGCAGCAGUCCAGCUCAAGGCCUGCAACUUGCUCUCUGCUGGGGAGCUGUGAAGAGUGCCAAGAAAGGUCUCCAUCAUCCUCCCGUGUCCUUCACAGUCGGGGCCUGUAGGGGCAGAAACCUUGUUUCUGCCUCCCAUUUCAGUGGGCCAUUCAAGUAUCUGUAGGAGGGCGGUGAGGUCAGAAAAUUGGGGAAACACUGUCUUUGAUAACUACAAACCAUUCAUUGCUUUGAUUCAGUCUAGCUAGCCCAACCAUUUCUUUAGGCCAAACAACUAAUGGGGCGGGGUGUGUGGCCCAAAGUCACAUAGUUGCCAGUGGAGGCGGUAUGGGGCAGGCCUUGGAAGACAAAUUUUUGAGGCAAACCCAAGAAUCCUGGCUCUUCUAUUUAGUAGCUGAGACGUUUUGGUUAAGCAGUUUAUCCUUGCUAAGCCAGUUUCCUCAUCUGUAAAAUGAGGCUAAUGAUGAGUAUCCUCCUCCUUAGAAUGAUCAUAUUUGGAAAGCACUGAGCAAAGUGCUGGUAAGUGCUCAAUAAACGGUUGCCUAUUAUUACCAUUAUUAGAACUCAGGGUCUUCUGAUCCUGAACUCCCCACUCCACAUCUUCCUUACAUCCUGCUUCCUCAGAGGCCUCCUCUUCUUGACUGAAAUGAAACCACAACAACUGGUACAUGCAAAGUACACUGCAUACUGGGACAAGAAUGGUUUUUCUACUGCCUUGGAGAAUCACAAAUGUCAAGAUAUAACGAAGUUGUCUGGUCUUUCAGUACAAAGGCAGUAAGUAUCUCUGAGCCAUUACACAAGUCUUCCAAGGUGUAACUAAGGACCCAUGGGGCACGUCCUCCUUUUGCUGUAUCAGGAGACCUGCCAGUGCCUCCUUACGGACAACCAUGCAGAAGGUUGAGAAUUAAAGUAAUAUUGCCCCAGUUUUGACACUGCAGGAGGUCACAGAUGAAUGACUCCAGUGGCAGCUUGUCCCAUCCAUUCUAUCAUGAAGACCCAGAUCAAGCACUUAAAAGGUUCUUCUGGCUGAAAAUGGAGGAGGAUCACUCCUGUAGGAAAAUGUUUCAUACCACACACAGAAGUCAAAGCUAUUGGAAAGGAGACUUUUAUUUUUUUCUUUCCAUGCUGUGGAAGGUCCUCAUGUUCCCCAGCUUUAUUUCCUCCCUCAAGGAGAAAAAAGAGUUCUCUGGGUCUCAGGGCUAAGCUGCUUCUAUGUGGACCUAGCCAAGGUGGGACAGAGAGACCAGUGACGGAUUCCAGAUCUACCAGCUGAAUGCAUCCACUGCUACUGAAGGGCAGGCAAGUGACUAGAAGGCAAGUUGUGUCCUUGGCCUCAGGGAGCAAGAAUUUAAAGACUACAAGGUGAUCCGAAUGAAAAGGUAAACACGCUGGACACAGCCUCAAAACCCACAUCUGGUGUUUUGGCCACUUAGAAUCAGCAGUGUGUAAGAGGGACACAGCCUGACAGCUCUAGUCCCAGGUGUCUUUACCAUUCUCUUUGGCCUUGAGCUUUAACAGGACGGGCAGAGUGAUAACCAACCCUGUGAGCAGUUUUCAGCCAGGGUCACAGUAUCAAGGAAGAUGUACCAUGGCAGAGGACUAAGACACAUGCGGGGUUCCCUACUUGCAGAACUCCUCCUGGGGCCUCUCCAGGACCUUGUGAUCCUGAAGCUGAUUCCUUGUCAAAACAUGUGAGUUCUCAGGGGGUGCCUGGGUGGCUCAGUUGGUUAAAUGUCUGGGUCUUGAUCUCAGGGUCCUGAGUUCAAGCCCUGCAUUGAGCUCCAUGCUGGGCAUGGAGCCUACUUAAAAAAAAAGCUUUUGGUCAUGAUCUCAGGGUCCUGGGAUUGAGCCCCUCAUCUGGCUCCCCGCUCAGCAGGGAAUCUCCUUGUCCCCCUCCCUCUGCUUCUGCUCUUCCCCUUGCUUGUGCUCUCUUUCAAAUAAAUAAAAUCUUCAAAAAAAAAAAAAAAUGAGAGUUCUCAACUGGAGCGGAGUACAAGGGAGCAAAACCAGCUAAUCUGGAGUGUGAACAGGGUGACCACCAGGGGCUGAGACCAAGGAGGAAAGACUGUAGGCCUCAACAGUUCUUCCAGACAUUAGUUUUUGAUUAUUUAUUUGAGGAAAAAAAAAAGUCACAACCAAGCAUAUAAAAUACUGUUAUCCUGAACUCAUUUUUUAGGACGGGCCAACAGGGAAAAAACCCAAAUACGCUUUGGAAUUGAUUAGGCUUUCAAGGUAAAGAGUAUAUUUUUUAAGCAUUAGGCUAACUCAUGGUUUGCUAACCUAGACGGUGCGAAAAACUUCAGGCAAAGGUGGGAGUUACUGAGUAGAAAGGCAGAAUGGCAGGGAGAGGCAAAACAUCCUUCCCCAAAGAUUAAAAAAAUUGGACGGAGGGGGGGGCGGAGUGGGGGGUGGGGGUUGGGGCAGAGCGUUGUCCUCUUCCAUCCAAGAACCUCCAAGCACUAGACUAUCUUCCAUGUUUUACAAGGCUGGCCCAGCCUCAGUCAGCAAACCCACCAGGACGAGGGCCAAGAACUCCCACUGCUUCUAGUUCUGAGGACUUCCGGGUGGUUCUUGCUUGUGAAAUGGGAAAGUUACGGUUUUUGGUUUUGUGAAAAACAUAGUUAAGAGACAGAGAUGCCCUUAGAAAGAUGCUCUUUUAAGAAAGGACAUAAAAUCAAAUCACAAUUACACCUGGCUUUGAUAAUUGGGGACUUCGUCUUUAAAACCGCUUGUUUUUUCCAGCUCUCCUUCCAAUGUUUUAAUAUGGAAUUUGGUCAGAGAUGCCAGCUUGGGAAAACUAGGUCCUCUAAUACAUUAGGAAAACCAAAUCCUUUAUCUCAACGAAGCCUAACCCAUGCUUUUGCAACCUCCCCUCUUCCUUCCCUCUAAUGGAUACCAGACAGGUGCACAGGAACGUUCGAUGCCAGGUCCUGCCCCGUACCCUCUCUGCCAGUCACCUAGGGUAGCACUCAGGCACAGAGCAUUUCUUUAAACUCUAAUCUGAUUCUGAUGAACAGCCAGGAUGGAGGAUCUCUCUCGGGGUUCUGGGCUUUAUAUUUUUCAUUCUCUCAGUGGCUUCAUACA
Mirounga angustirostris (Northern elephant seal) is the source of this 3507-nucleotide long non-coding RNA. RefSeq lists it as uncharacterized. The record is from RefSeq and is a predicted model, not a curated record. Lineage: Eukaryota; Metazoa; Chordata; Mammalia; Carnivora; Phocidae. The transcript has 2 exons.